CCCAUGCAGUGAGGAUUGAAAAAAGACACAAGUCAAUGGAAAUGUGGUUGAUACUGCUAUAUAAUAGACAGCAAACUAGGAGAUAUUCAAAUCUACCUUCCAGGAUUUGACAUCUAAGAGGAACAAAAGACUGCAUUCAUCAGUAGGAUGAGACUGUAUCCUGUAUUCGUCAGAAUAUGAAAACUGGAAAUUGUAAUCAAUAAAGCACCCUUUACUACA
Panthera uncia (snow leopard) is the source of this 219-nucleotide long non-coding RNA. RefSeq lists it as uncharacterized. The record is from RefSeq and is a predicted model, not a curated record. The transcript is spliced from 2 exons. Lineage: Eukaryota; Metazoa; Chordata; Mammalia; Carnivora; Felidae.